GGUUGAAUGGCUUAAUGGAAAGAACACGAGCUUGGGAGUCAGAGGUCACGGGUUCUAAUCCCGUUUCCUCUA
Molecule: transfer RNA, 72 nt
Filed under: Ornithorhynchus anatinus (platypus)
Lineage: Eukaryota; Metazoa; Chordata; Mammalia; Monotremata; Ornithorhynchidae
Rfam family: tRNA
About the family: Transfer RNA (tRNA) molecules are approximately 80 nucleotides in length. Their secondary structure includes four short double-helical elements and three loops (D, anti-codon, and T loops).
Source: Rfam by way of RNAcentral